RNAcentral lists this ribosomal RNA (1382 nucleotides) under metagenome. RNAcentral describes it as "bacterial SSU rRNA". It matches the Rfam family "Archaeal small subunit ribosomal RNA". The record is from RNAcentral.
UCCAGUUGAUCCUGCUGGCGGCUGCGGCUCUCUGGUUUGCUCUAAGACAUGCAAGUUUCUUUGUUUCUUCGGAAGUAGAGGAGCGAACUGCUCAGUAACACGUCGGUAACCUAACCUUAGACCAGGAAUAACCUCUGGGAAACUGAGGAUAAUGCCUGAUAGAAGAUAUACCCUGGAAAGAUUUAUCUUUGAACUAAGGAUGGGCCGGCGGCGGAUUAGGUUGUUGGCGGGGUAAUAGCCCACCAAGCCUGUGAUCCGUAAGGGCUCUUAGCGGAGGAGCCCUGAGAGGGAAUCUGAGCCACUAUUCCCAGCCCCACGGGGUGCAGCAGUUAGGAAUAAUCUGCAAUGCGCGCAAGCGUGACAGUUUGAGCCAGAGUGCUUCUCAAUGAGAAGCUUUUGCUGAAUGUAAAAAGUUCGGCGAAUAAGGACUGGGUAAGACUAGUGCCAGCCGCCGCGGUAAUACUAGCGGUCCAAGUCGCAGCCACAUUUAUUGGGUCUAAAACAUCCGUAGCUUGCCUUGUAAGUCUCUUGUGAAAUCUCGUGUCUUAAGCACGAGGCGUGCGAGAGGUACUGCAUGGCUAGAGACUGGGAGACGUGAGAAGUACGUUCGGAGUAGCGGUAAAAUGUUUUAAUCCUGAGCGGACUCACAACAGCGAAGGCAUCUCACGAGAACAGUUCUGACAGUGAGGGAUGAAGGCUAGGGGCGCAAAACGGAUUAGAUACCCGUGUAGUCCUAGCAGUAAACACUGCACACUAAACAUCGGGACCUCCUCGAGAGGUUUCGGUGCUGCAGCGAAGGCGAAGAGUGUGCUACCUGGGAAGUAUAGUCGCAAGGCCGAAACUUAAAGGAAUUGGCGGGGAGACACUACAACAGGUGACGCGUGCGGUUCAAUUAGAUUCUACACCGUGAACCUCACCAGGAGCGACAGCAGAAUGAAGGUCAGUCUGAAGGGCUUACCUGACACGCUGAGAGGAGUUGCAUGGCCGACGUCAGCCUGUGUUGUGAGAUGACCUGUUAAAUCAGGUAACAGGCAAGACCCUCGUGCAUAUUUAUAUUCUAUAUGCAGAUUGCCUUGGUAACAAGGAUGAAAGUGAGGGCUACGUUAGGUGAGUACAGCCCUAAUCCCCUGGGCAACACGCGCGCGUCAAUGGUGGAUACAACGGGACGCAACUCCGAAAGGAGAAGCUAAUCUCUUAAAGUCCAUCUCAGUCCAAAUCGAGGUUUGUAACUCAGCCUCGUGACGCUGGAAUCUGUAGUAAUCGUUUGUUAUCAGCGAACGGUGAAUAAGUCACUGUCUCUUGCACACACUGCCCGUCAAACCAACCAAGUUUAGUUAUGGUGAAACUCUUCGGAGGAGAACCUUGGCUAGAUGAGGUAGGUU